UUACUAGUUACUGGGUGCACGGUGUUCGGCGUUCGACUGGUCAUGACCGUUUUCCCAAGAUGGCGCCUGCCUGCAUACGCGAACGGUACAGUGUUUAUAAACUAUCUUUUUAAUAAACUUUCUGUACACUUACAAAGUUCUCAAUGCUUUGGUUUACAUAUCUGGACCCUUAUUAUGCUACCAUGGAAAUGUGGUGCUAUUUUGACUACUACUAGCGUUACAAGCUACUUAGCAAUUUGCGCUCAAACUAGUCCCAUUCGAUU
Long non-coding RNA from Etheostoma spectabile (orangethroat darter), 263 nucleotides. RefSeq lists it as uncharacterized. The record is from RefSeq and is a predicted model, not a curated record. NCBI's taxonomy places the organism in Eukaryota, Metazoa, Chordata, Actinopteri, Perciformes, Percidae. The transcript has 3 exons.